CCUACGGGGGGCUGCAGUGGGGAAUAUUGCACAAUGGGCGCAAGCCUGAUGCAGCCAUGCCGCGUGUGUGAAGAAGGCCUUCGGGUUGUAAAGCACUUUCAGCGGGGAGGAAGGCGUUAAGGUUAAUAACCUUGGCGAUUGACGUUACCCGCAGAAGAAGCACCGGCUAACUCCGUGCCAGCAGCCGCGGUAAUACGGAGGGUGCAAGCGUUAAUCGGAAUUACUGGGCGUAAAGCGCACGCAGCGGUCUGUCAAGUCGGAUGUGAAAUCCCCGGGCUCAACCUGGGAACUGCAUUCGAAACUGGCAGGCUAGAGUCUUGUAGAGGGGGGUAGAAUUCCAGGUGUAGCGGUGAAAUGCGUAGAGAUCUGGAGGAAUACCGGUGGCGAAGGCGGCCCCCUGGACAAAGACUGACGCUCAGGUGCGAAAGCGUGGGGAGCAAACAGGAUUAGAUACCCCGGUAGUC
RNAcentral lists this ribosomal RNA (464 nucleotides) under uncultured Klebsiella sp. Its description in RNAcentral is "bacterial SSU rRNA". It matches the Rfam family "Bacterial small subunit ribosomal RNA", at positions 338 to 795 of the family's 1533-position model. The record is from RNAcentral. Lineage: Bacteria; Pseudomonadati; Pseudomonadota; Gammaproteobacteria; Enterobacterales; Enterobacteriaceae.